CGUAAGGCGCCGAAUGAGUCAUUAAAAAAUUAACAUCAUCCGAUCCCUAGUCGGCAUAGUUUAUGGUUAAGACUACGACGGUAUCUGAUCGUCUUCGAUCCCCUAACUUUCGUUCUUGAUUAAUGAAAACAUCCUUGGCAAAUGCUUUCGCAGUAGUUAGUCUUCAAUAAAUCCAAGAAUUUCACCUCUGACAAUUGAAUACUAAUGCCCCCAACUAUCCCUAUUAAUCAUUACGUCGAUCCUAGAAACCAACAAAAUUAGAAUCAAACGUCCUAUUUCAUUAUUCCAUGCUAAUGUAUUCAAGCGCGAGCUUGCUUUAAACACUCUAAUUUUUUCAAGUACAGUCCUGAUUUCCCAUGACACCAAAUUAAUGACAUCGUGGUUCGUCAGAAGGGAGAAACCAAUAAUGCUAGUACGUACAAAGUACGACCGACAUAUUAGUCCCGAAAUUCAACUACGAGCUUUUUAACUGCAACAACUUUAAUAUACGCUAUUGGAGCUGGAAUUACCGCGGCUGCUG
Molecule: ribosomal RNA, 520 nt
Filed under: uncultured Glomus
Lineage: Eukaryota; Fungi; Glomeromycota; Glomeromycetes; Glomerales; Glomeraceae
Description: partial 18S ribosomal RNA
Source: RNAcentral